UAACUUUAUUUAAUGUAGGUACCGUCUGGCUGCAAGACGUAAAAUACAAGCGCUACUUGGGAGGCAACCCAUACAAAUCAGAUUUGCUUUCUUUAUCCUUAUCUUUUAUUUUUCGUUUUUGCUUAUUUGUUUUAGUAGUUAUUUUCGUAAAUUUCAUCCCUAUAUGCUUAAGUGUUUCAUUGCAUUCUUAUUUUUGAUUACAUUGAGGACAAUGCAAUAUUUAAGUGUGGGGGAAGGGAUUUACACUUUUAUCUUGAGUCAUAUAUAUUGAAAAAUACAAAAAAAAUCGAAAAAUGUCAAAAAUUUUAAAAAAAAAUUUGGUUACUUUUGUUUUUGUUUUUGAGUCUUAGAAUGCCCUUUCAACUGUCUAGGAUGAUUCUAUAUCUCUGAAAUCAUGAUUAAAAGAGGAUCACAAAAUUGAGAUGAUUUUUAAAAUGGUAUUCUUUGGUUAAUUGAGAUAUAUGAAAAAUGCAUGCAUGUGUAGUGGAUAUGGAUUUCGUAACCUUGGUAUAGAAUAUGAGCAUGUUAGGAUGAGUUUUGAUUCAUAAAAGCCCAUGUGAGAUAUUUGAGCCAUGUCCCUUUUUCUUGGAGUGAUAAAUGAAAAACAUAUUCUUAAUUUCUUGGCGAUAUUAAGUUUAAUGGACUAGAGAAUGCUAGAAUUCACUCUUGUGCUUGUUGAAACGUUAUAUCAAUACAUGGCCCUGAUUCUGGAAAGGAUAGAGGCAACCUAGGAAUUACCACCAUUGCCAAAUAAGCAUGUGUCCCUAUUUGUGCCCGUCGUGGGACUCCCUUAGAUAAACCCCUUUG
This 807-nucleotide long non-coding RNA is filed under the name Rosa chinensis. RNAcentral describes it as "sRNA RchiOBHm_Chr1g0376041". The record is from RNAcentral. Lineage: Eukaryota; Viridiplantae; Streptophyta; Magnoliopsida; Rosales; Rosaceae.